GCCGAACCGUACGAACGUUAUUCGGAAUUACUGGGCUUAAAGCGUGCGUAGGCGGCGCGGUAAGUUGGAUGUGAAAUCCCUCGGCUCAACCGAGGAACUGCGUCCAAAACUGCCGUGCUCGAGGAAGAUAGAGGUGAGCGGAACUCACGGUGGAGCGGUGAAAUGCGUUGAUAUCGUGAGGAACACCCGUGGCGAAAGCGGCUCACUGGGUCUUUUCUGACGCUGAGGCACGAAAGCUAGGGGAGCAAACGGG
Molecule: ribosomal RNA, 253 nt
Filed under: uncultured bacterium
Lineage: Bacteria
Description: partial 16S ribosomal RNA
Rfam family: Bacterial small subunit ribosomal RNA
Source: RNAcentral